This 353-nucleotide ribosomal RNA is filed under the name uncultured Racocetraceae. RNAcentral describes it as "SSU rRNA". It matches the Rfam family "Eukaryotic small subunit ribosomal RNA", at positions 569 to 929 of the family's 1831-position model. The record is from RNAcentral. Lineage: Eukaryota; Fungi; Glomeromycota; Glomeromycetes; Diversisporales; Gigasporaceae.
AGCAGCCGCGGUAAUUCCAGCUCCAAUAGCGUAUAUUAAAGUUGUUGCAGUUAAAAAGCUCGUAGUUGAAUUUCGGGGUUCUACCGUUGGUCGGGCUUUGUCUGUACUGGCGUGUAGAAUUUCUACCUUCUGGGGAACCAUUAUGUUAUUAAUUUAGCGUAGUGGGAAACCAGGACCUUUACCUUGAAAAAAUUAGAGUGUUCAAAGCAGGCUUAUGUCUGGAUACAUUAGCAUGGAAUAAUGAAAUAGGACGUUAAUCCUAUUUUGUUGGUUUCUAGGAUCGACGUAAUGAUUAAUAGGGAUAGUUGGGGGCAUUAGUAUUCAAUUGUCAGAGGUGAAAUUCUUGGAUGUAU